GACGAACGCUGGCGGCAUGCUUAACACAUGCAAGUCGAACGGUGACCCCCUUCUGAGGGGCUGAGUGGCGAAUGGCUGGUUAACACGUGGGCAACCUGCCCCCGUCUCUGAGAUAACCUCAUGCUAUUGGGGCUUAUGCCCUAUGUUCACCGCUUCUCGCGCGGUUGGAGGUGGCCACGGUUUCCGGCUGGGGAUGGGCCCGCAGCGUUUCAGCUUGCUGGUGGGGUUGUGUCAUCCCAAGGCGACGCCGGGUAGCCGGCCUGUGAGGGUCACCGGCCACACUAGGACUGAAACACGGCCCAGACUCCAACGGGAGGCAGCGGUGGGGAAUAUUGCGCAAUGGGAGGAGGCAUAGCGCAACGAAGCCGCGUGGGGUAUAACGGCCAGCGGGUAGGAAACCUCUUUCAGCAGGGAGGAAGCGCAAGUGACGGUACCUGCAGAAGAAGCACCGGCCAACUACGUG
Molecule: ribosomal RNA, 463 nt
Filed under: uncultured bacterium
Lineage: Bacteria
Description: partial 16S ribosomal RNA
Rfam family: Bacterial small subunit ribosomal RNA
Source: RNAcentral